AUAAGAGACCUUUGGGUCCUUCAUCCUUCAAACCCGUGGAAGCGAGAUGUGCUUCGGCGCCUCUGAGCGUCGAAUCAAUGCCGUUUAGCCUGUGUCUGAAACGAAAUAAAUUUUA
RNAcentral lists this unclassified non-coding RNA (115 nucleotides) under uncultured Tuberaceae. RNAcentral's name for it is "sequence contains ITS1". Lineage: Eukaryota; Fungi; Ascomycota; Pezizomycetes; Pezizales; Tuberaceae. The record is from RNAcentral.